GACGAACGCUGGCGGCGUGCUUAACACAUGCAAGUCGAACGAUGAGGCCGGAGCUUGCUCUGGUGAAUUAGUGGCGAACGGGUGAGGAACACGUGAGUAACCUGCCCUUGACUCUGGGAUAACUGCGGGAAACUGUAGCUAAUACCGGAUACGACCCUCGGAGGCAUCUCCUGGGGGUGGAAAGAAUUUCGGUCAAGGAUGGACUCGCGGCCUAUCAGCUAGUUGGUGAGGUAAAGGCUCACCAAGGCGACGACGGGUAGCCGGCCUGAGAGGGUGACCGGCCACACUGGGACGGAGACACGGCCCAGACUCCUACGGGAGGCCGCAGUGGGGAAUAUUGCACAAUGGGCGCAAGCCUGAUGCAGCAACGCCGCGUGAGGGAUGACGGCCUUCGGGUUGUAAACCUCUUUUAGUAGGGAAGAAGCGAAAGUGACGGUACCUGCAGAAAAAGCACCGGCUAACUACGUGCCAGCAGCAGCCGCCG
RNAcentral lists this ribosomal RNA (484 nucleotides) under uncultured bacterium. Its description in RNAcentral is "partial 16S ribosomal RNA". It matches the Rfam family "Bacterial small subunit ribosomal RNA", at positions 28 to 523 of the family's 1533-position model. The record is from RNAcentral.